RNAcentral lists this small nucleolar RNA (53 nucleotides) under Ornithorhynchus anatinus (platypus). RNAcentral describes it as "C/D box snoRNA Oa1785". The record is from RNAcentral. Lineage: Eukaryota; Metazoa; Chordata; Mammalia; Monotremata; Ornithorhynchidae.
GGGUCUGUGAUGAUGACUUUCACUUUAUUUCGAGUCUCACGACCUUGAGAUCA